GUGGUUGUCAAGAAAGAUUGGCUCAACCCUCUUUUCGAAGGAACCUUUACCGUAAACCAUGACCACCAUCACGUUCUGCUAAGAUCAAGUUAUGCCAAGUCAAAGCAUGAACUCGACAAGGAUGUGGAGGACACCACCGGGGAGUACAUGAUAGUUUUUCGGGAUUCUGAUAUGGAGUUGAUCGAAGAUGAUGAUGUGACUAAACGGUCCUCUCCAGAGACCCAUUCUUGCGGAGCUGAUAAUCUGCUGUUUAACUCGGAUCCCGACCAUCCCGUCUUUCGCCGAACGGCAGAGCGGGACACUACUCGUUGGGGUUCCAUGUCGUUGGAAUCCGUCUUCGGCUUGAGCCGACGACAAUUGGACAUGCCAGGAGGUGGGAAUGCUGGCGGGGUGAAUUUGGCCACGACCAUCGGAAGCACUGCGGGCUGCCCAUCCAGGAGGAAAGUCGCUUUAAUCGGGGUGGCAACUGACUGCAGUUACGCUCAGACCUUCGAUUCACAGCCGCAGCUCACCAGAGAAAAUGUCAUAAGUGUCGUCAACAGUGCGUCCC
RNAcentral lists this small RNA (550 nucleotides) under Histoplasma capsulatum. Its description in RNAcentral is "hypothetical RNA". RNAcentral also lists the same sequence under 1 other name. Lineage: Eukaryota; Fungi; Ascomycota; Eurotiomycetes; Onygenales; Ajellomycetaceae. The record is from RNAcentral.